Molecule: ribosomal RNA, 462 nt
Filed under: uncultured bacterium
Lineage: Bacteria
Description: partial 16S ribosomal RNA
Rfam family: Bacterial small subunit ribosomal RNA
Source: RNAcentral
GAUGAACGCUGACAGCAUGCUUAACACAUGCAAGUCGUUCGCAAAGCUGCGCUUGCUCAGUCUAGCCAAGGCGGACGGGUGUUUAACGCGUAAGGAACUUGCCCUGCAGACAGGGGUGAUAGACGCAAGCGACUGAUAACACCUGCUAUUGUCAGCCCGGCGCAUGCCGGCCUGAUUAAAGGAGACGCUGCAGGAGAGCCUUGCGUCCUAUUAGCUAGUUGGUGGGGUGACGGCACACCAAGGCGAUGAUUGGUAGCCGGCCUGAGAGGGUGAACGGCCACAAGGGGACUGAGAUACGGCACUCACGCCUACGGGAGGCAGCAGUGGGGAAUAUUGGACAAUGGGGGCAACACUGAUCCAGAAAUUCGGUGUGGACGAAGAAGGUUUGCGGAUUGGAAAGUGAUCUCAGCAGGGAAGAAGAAAGUGACGGUACCUGGAGAAGAAGCGACGGCUAAAUACGUG